This 271-nucleotide ribosomal RNA is filed under the name bacterium OG4. RNAcentral's name for it is "partial 16S ribosomal RNA". It matches the Rfam family "Bacterial small subunit ribosomal RNA", at positions 526 to 796 of the family's 1533-position model. The record is from RNAcentral.
UGCGUAGCGCAAGCGUUAAUCGGAAUUACUGGGCGUAAAGCGUGCGCAGGCGGUUAUAUAAGACAGAUGUGAAAUCCCCGGGCUCAACCUGGGAACUGCAUUUGUGACUGUAUAGCUAGAGUACGGCAGAGGGGGAUGGAAUUCCGCGUGUAGCAGUGAAAUGCGUAGAUAUGCGGAGGAACACCGAUGGCGAAGGCAAUCCCCUGGGCCUGUACUGACGCUCAUGCACGAAAGCGUGGGGAGCAAACAGGAUUAGAUACCCUGGUAGUCA